Molecule: ribosomal RNA, 495 nt
Filed under: uncultured bacterium
Lineage: Bacteria
Description: partial 16S ribosomal RNA
Rfam family: Bacterial small subunit ribosomal RNA
Source: RNAcentral
GAUGAACGCUGGCGGCGUGCCUAAUACAUGCAAGUCGAGCGAACAGACGAGGAGCUUGCUCCUCUGAUGUUAGCGGCGGACGGGUGAGUAACACGUGGAUAACCUACCUAUAAGACUGGGAUAACUUCGGGAAACCGGAGCUAAUACCGGAUAACAUGUUGAACCGCAUGGUUCAACAGUGAAAGACGGUCUUGCUGUCACUUAUAGAUGGAUCCGCGCCGCAUUAGCUAGUUGGUAAGGUAACGGCUUACCAAGGCAACGAUGCGUAGCCGACCUGAGAGGGGGCUGGGCCACCCUGGAACUGAGACCCGGCCAGAACCCCACGGGGGGGCAGCAGUAGGGAAUUUUCCGCAAGGGGGGAAACCCUGACGGAGCACCCCCGCGGGAGGGAAAAAGGUCUUCGGAUGGAAAAACUCUUUUUUUGGGGAAGAAAAAAUGUGAAAGUAACUAGCCCGGUCUUGGGGGUACCUAACCAGAAAGCCCGGGCUAACAACG